UGCUCGAGUGGCGAACGGGUGAGUAACACGUGAGUAACCUGCCCUUGACUUUGGGAUAACUUCAGGAAACUGGGGCUAAUACCGGAUAGGAGCUCCUGCUGCAUGGUGGGGGUUGGAAAGUUUCGGCGGUUGGGGAUGGACUCACGGCUUAUCAGCUUGUUGGUGGGGUAGUGGCUUACCAAGGCUUUGACGGGUAGCCGGCCUGAGAGGGUGACCGGCCACAUUGGGACUGAGAUACGGCCCAG
Molecule: ribosomal RNA, 245 nt
Filed under: uncultured Actinomycetales bacterium
Lineage: Bacteria; Bacillati; Actinomycetota; Actinomycetes; Actinomycetales
Description: partial 16S ribosomal RNA
Rfam family: Bacterial small subunit ribosomal RNA
Source: RNAcentral